UAGUUGUUCCACCUUCCUUGUUUCGAAAAGGCAUGGUUCAGCAAUCUCCAGGACCCACCCACCCACUGACGCAGACCUUCAGCCCGCCUGCCAGAGCCCGGGAGCCCAGUCACAUGUCUAUUACUCACACACUGUCCCACCUCUCUACUAUAAGAACAGGGGAACAGCAUGAAAGUCUGUGUUGCUAAUUUUAGAAACAGAGUCAUGCAUCAUGUCUGUCUCCUGGAUCGGGGGAAGUGGACAGUGGGCAGUUGUACCAGCCCUUGGGGAAGAGUGACGAGACGUCUUCGUGGGCAUUGCCCAGGGGCUGUCGUCCCUCUGGUGCCAGGGCAAACAUCCUAGUGAGUAAUGAAAGGAAC
Molecule: long non-coding RNA, 359 nt
Organism: Clupea harengus (Atlantic herring)
Lineage: Eukaryota; Metazoa; Chordata; Actinopteri; Clupeiformes; Clupeidae
Exons: 2
Source: RefSeq, a predicted model, not a curated record